CACUCCUGGUCACACCAUUCUAAUUUGAAAAAAAACAAAAAAGACCAACCACCAGCUGUUCCCUGCUCGGCCGUAGCCGAAAGAGACGUGGUGGCCUCAUCGAAGGGGAAAGCACAGCGAAGCUUAAACCGUCACCCUCCCCGACAUCGGUUAGCGGGUCCGCGCUCCUUUCCCACACGGCGUGACCUCGAAGGCGAGACCGCGCGAUAUAAAGCCACGGCUGCCGGGGCGGAGGCAGGUAAUGCGUCACGGCCUGGACGGCUGAGAUACUGUCGGCGUCUGGGAUCCGAUGGGAAACUCGCUGGGGUGCUCGGCCUCUGGCGAGCGGCUGGUCUCGGCGGCCAGGGACGGCGAUCUGGUGGAGGCCCGGAUGCUGCUGGAGUUUAACCCUAAGUACUCCACUUUUGGUGGCCUCAACUCCCCACUCCACUUCGCCGCCGCCAAGGGCCACAACGAGAUUGUUAUGUUGCUGCUCGAGAAAGGUGCCGAGGUGAAUUCGAGGAACUAUUGUGGCCAGACGGCGUUGAUGCAAGCUUGUCGGCAUGGGCACUGGGAGGUGGUGCAGACUCUGCUGCUCUUCGGAAGCAAUGACUACAGAUUCACGACCAUUGUCCUUGUUCACAAUUUAAAGUGCAGGGCUUGGGAUUUGCUGAAUUGUGGAGCGGUAUUUAAACUGCAGUGGUUGAGUCCAAGCCUGCACUUUCUUCAAGAUUUAUAGGACAUUGGAUUGUUUGUUGCACGCUUUGGAAGGACUUCUCAUUGUUUCGAGGAUUCUCCAUUAAUUCAGAAGCCGUAAGUGCGGAUCUAAAGUUCAGAUUAUUUCCUGGUAUAUCAUCUUGAUCUACCGUCAAAGAAUAUGUGCAAAUGUGCAUCAUCCAUACACAACCAGACAACUAUUUGCAUAUCCACUAUUUUUUCUAAGAGGAUUGAGAGUAAUAUCAUCUACUCUAUACCACUAGGUAAAUUUUCUGACAUAUUCGAGCCUAUUCCAUAUUUUCUUAAAAAAUAUUUUACAUCUAUGUACCAAAAAAAAAAUUUAUAUCUAAAUUUUUAUUAGUUGUCAUAUGCAUUUAUAGGCCUACUAGAACUUGACCUAGUUUUUAUAGGAUUGGCAAUCUUUCCACUAAAAUGACAGAGCAGCAAACAUCCCAAAAAGAUUAAAUAGUAAGUGUCACAUGUCAUGCAAUGGUUGCAGUUUAAGAUGUUGCUAUCACCGAUUGCUAUUUAUUGUUAAGAGAGAAAAAGAUGAUACAUUCUAGUGGAAGAAUUAAUAAUUCUAAGACAAUAAUAGGUUGACAACCCUUAAGACUUAUUGUCAAGAAUUAUUGAUUAAUUAUCUUAAUGAUGUAAGGUUAACAAGAAGAGUCUCAUGUUGAACCUCCAAAUGCGUCAAGAAGGAAUAAAAAUAGUGAUUUCAUGCUUUGAUACUAUAAAUGUUAAGAAGCAACAGAGGAAAUCACGUAAAGUUGUUUCAGGCACCCACCAGACAAAAAGGAUUGAACAGGUAUCUCUUUAAUAUUUCUUUUAAGAAGUUGAUCUAGUGUCUGGUUUGAAGAUGGUACAAACAUGUAGAAUUAUCGGGCAUAAUGACCCAAGAAACUUACUUGGUACUUAAAUCGCUAAGCUGUAUGUCCGUCGUAAGGAUAGUGAAGGGAUGAUCACAAAAUUCAUGCUGGUAAUUCCACUAAUGUUCUUACUGAUCGUUUUCUUGAUGCUUAGGGAAGCUGAUCAUUUCAUUGGUAUUGCCUCCAUUCACUUAUUCCUUUCCCUUUCCUUAUUGAACCUUUGUGACAGAUCAAGAAACAAAACUUACCAUUACAGAGUAGUUCAUUACGUGUUCACGUGCUAGAACAUCACAAUGUAAAAAAGGGCUAAGAAGAGCAAUGACGUACAAGUUAGGGCACUAGGCUAUAAACCAUAAUUGUGGACUAUAAUGGAAAUGAUGGUCUCAACCUAUUGUGCAUAAGAAAAGCAAAACAGAAAUGAAAAUAGAAGCUCUUGAAAUCAGAAGAAAGGUUUUAAUUUAUAUCUGACCAACCUUUCAGGGUAAUACAUUUUAAAUGUGUAUGAUUCUCUCUCCUUCUUUUUUUAUUUUUAUUUUGAUAAGGUGGUUCAUUGGAACAAGUCUUGCAUUAAUAUAAUUAAGAGAAUCAAAAAAUAAAAUAUCCCAAAGUCAUCUUGAAAUAACCCCCCUCCCCUCACUAUCCAGAGAAUUUAUUUAGUAAUGCUCAACUACAAAAAGGUGCCACCCAAUCAGCCACUGAGUUCAUUUCAUGGAAGACAUGCCUAAUGAUCAGCGCAAUGCACCCUCUCAACAAUCUCAUGGCAACUCAGCCAUGAGUACAUUUUUGCAGCCAUGUUACCAUCGUGGCUGAAUCAACCUCAACAAGUUGGGUUACCCCCAAAAUUCGUUUGGUGGAGAUGAUCCCCACCCAGGUAGCAUGGUGGUAUAUUGUUCAUUUAUUAUAUAUCAUAUUAAUUAAACUAUGUAUCAUAAUUAGUUAAUUUAACUCUGUACAUAGUUAAUUUAACACUGCACACAGUUAAUUUGACAUUGCAUAUAGUUAAAUGAACCCUAUAUACAGUUAAUUUAACACUGUACACAGUUAAAUAAAUCCUACAUAAUUAAUUUAAUAUUACAUAUAAUUAAUUUAAUACUGCACACAGUUAAAUGAAUCCUGCAUACAGUUCAGUCACAGUUAAUUUAAUACUAUACAUAGCUAAAUUAAUACCAUGCACAGUUAAUUUAACACUGCACAUAAUUAAAUAAACUCUGUACACAGCUAAUUUAAUACUGCAUAUAAUUAAAUCAACUAUGUGCAGUAUUAAAUUAACUGUAUGCAGAGUUCAUUUAAUUAACACUGUAUAUAAUUAAUUUAUUAUUAUUUUUAAAAAAUAAUUUUAAAAAAUAAUUUUUAUUUAUUAUUGAAAUCAUCGAGGGUGCAGACUCAGAUUUUGGUACUAAAGGGAGGUUGUAGGUGUUCGACACAGAGCCACGGGAGCAGAUUCAAACUUAUCAUAGACUGAGAUGUCUGGUAUACUUUUGUCUCUCCUAUGUGGCAUCAACUCUUCAUUAAAUUGACUAAAUAAGAAUUACUACAAAUAUUAUAGUCAAAAAAAUUAAUUUUAAAAAUAUAGACCAUCGCUCCCCAGU
This is an RNA transcript of Elaeis guineensis (African oil palm), 3154 nucleotides long. It is a transcript of the gene named E3 ubiquitin-protein ligase XBAT33, with no coding region annotated. The record is from RefSeq and is a predicted model, not a curated record. NCBI's taxonomy places the organism in Eukaryota, Viridiplantae, Streptophyta, Magnoliopsida, Arecales, Arecaceae.